Molecule: long non-coding RNA, 2048 nt
Filed under: Medicago truncatula (barrel medic)
Lineage: Eukaryota; Viridiplantae; Streptophyta; Magnoliopsida; Fabales; Fabaceae
Description: long non-coding RNA (MTRU_LNC000822)
Source: RNAcentral
AUAAAGACUGAAUAACAUUAAUAAUAAAGAGAGUAUCAACUACUGAUUCAUAUAUUACAAUAGGGUCAUCAUGGCUUAAUCAAUAAGGAAAUUAGCUAGACAUGAUCAAACGAAUAAACAACAUAAUAAAGAAAAUAAACCGAUAGAGUUCCAUCGUUGUCGGGCCUUGUUCUUCAUGUUUUUCCAUUUCAUGUGCUCCUAUUUCUUUCGUGCGGCUCCUUUUCCUUUUCCAAAACGUGAAUUGCACAGAACGUCAAAAAUUCCCUUUUUGUGAUGUGCUGCUUCCUUUUUAUAUUGCCUUCACCAAGUUCUUUUGUUAAUUUUCUCUCGGGUCAACAGCCCACUUCUUUUACUAUCCAUGUAUUAAUACACCAAACUUACUAUUAAGUUUCAACUCAUACCUCUUUUUCUUCAAUAGGCUAGAUAAGUUGCACAAUAAUUUCUUCUCAUUCCUUGGCCUUGUAAAUAUGUCACUAAUUGACCAAUAAUGAUAAUAAAAUACUAUUUGACUCAAUAAAUCAAAAACGACAAUUUAUUCAAAAUGACUCUAAAUUAAAUACUAAACUAAUAAAAAAAUGAAUUAAAACUUAACUAAAAAGACUCUAAAAAUGUGAUAUGACGGACUAUCAUCACAACCCCAAACUUGAAUCAUUCCUUGUCCUCAAGGAAUUCACUUGCGACAUUGACAAUCGACAGUAAAAUAACAAUUACCUAACCAAGUAGUAGUAUCCAAAAGUUCAUCUUCCUCUAGCCAAUGAUGAGCUAGUUUGACUUUCAUGCAUCCACCAUUCACAACUACACACAACAAUAUGAUAAGGGUUCACACUCAAUCAACGUGCAGGUCUACAUAUUACCAUACGCUUGAAAAGUUUCUAAACGUCAAUCAAAAUCAAUAUCAUUACACACUUUGAGGUCUUUCAGGGUUAUAACGAGGUUUAGGUUAAGGUGAGAUAAUAUUUGGAUAAGUAGGCUACACAAAAUUUGAGUUAGGCAUUCCUACGGAAAUUAAAGAAUGGAUUCAAUUCCUCAUUCACCCCUUGAAAUAACAAUUUGUAAAGGUACUAGAGAAUAUUUGUAACUUUUUAGGACAAUCGGGUUUAAAAUUACUCAGAUUUUUCAUUGUUUGUCCCUUGCUUUUUAUUCUUUUUUUUUUUGAUACACCAUUUUGAGUUUGAGUGUAUAUUUUUCAUGAUUUGUUCUUUGUUCUCUAGUACCUCCAUUUGUUCUACCUCCACCCCAAACUUAGUUGGUUGCAAAUUCCAAUAGCAACCCCAAACUUAUUGUUUAGCAACACCCUACAUAGCCUAACUCAAAUAUAAUAUUUUUUUGGGUCAAAUCCUAAAAGUCCCUAGGCUCAAUAUGUAGCUUGUCACCGAACAAAAAGAUCUAAACCUACCGGCUCAAAUUGGCUUUCAAAAAGGAUAAAUUCAAUCAAAAUCAGGGUAGGCUUGAAAAGGCUCACAGAACCAAGCACUUUUGCCUUCACCAAGUUCUUUUGUUAAUUUUCUCUCGGGUCAACAGCCCACUUCUCUUAAAUCAAGUUCAACCAUUAUUUCCGGCGGUCCCAUUGCCACUAUACAAUAUAUUCAACUGCAAGUGCGCCUUCGUUCAAGCAUCUGGUCAUACAAAAUCACAACAAGAGAUGGGUCUUAAUUGAUUCAAAACAAUUGGUUUAAGUGUAAGUAUGAUAAAAUCCUUACAAGAAACAACCAUGGUAAAGGAGAUUAAAGAAGAUGAGUCGCAUGAUCUUAGUUAUUAGGGAUUGAGUUUUUUAUAUAAAAAAAAAAGGCAUAAAUUGAAGUUGGAAACGAGUUGGUGUGUGAGUCUAGAAGCAGAAACCGUUGUUGAAGAGAUAGACCUUGAAGACAAUCAAUUUCCAAUUUUUAUUUUUAUAUUUUAUAAAUAAUAAUGAUGUGUAAUGCUUUUAGUGGUUGGAACUAAAUAUGAUCUUUUAGGUGAGAGACCAUGCAAGAGUUUCUCAUUAUUAUAAUGUAAAGAUAUAUUAUACUCUUCUUCUAAAUCUUUAUCUUUAUUAUAUAUAUUUGCGC